Molecule: ribosomal RNA, 540 nt
Filed under: uncultured delta proteobacterium
Lineage: Bacteria; Deltaproteobacteria
Description: bacterial SSU rRNA
Rfam family: Bacterial small subunit ribosomal RNA
Source: RNAcentral
GCUGGCGGCGUGCUUAACACAUGCAAGUCGCACGAGUAACGCUUCAGCUUGCUGAAGUUAGUAAAGUGGCGCACGGGUGAGUAACGCGUGGGUAAUCUUCCCCCGAAUCGGGGAUAACAUUGCGAAAGCGAUGCUAAUACCGGAUAAUAUCUCAGAUACCCCGGUGUUUGAGAUCAAAGGUGGCCUCUACAUGUAAGCUAUUGUUUGGGGAUGAGCCCGCGUACCAUUAGCUUGUUGGUAGGGUAACGGCCUACCAAGGCUGCGAUGGUUAGCUGGUCUGAGAGGAUGAUCAGCCACACUGGAACUGACACACGGUCCAGACUCCUACGGGAGGCAGCAGUGAGGAAUUUUGCGCAAUGGGGGAAACCCUGACGCAGCAACGCCGCGUGAGUGAUGAAGGCUUUCGGGUCGUAAAGCUCUGUCAAGUGGGAAGAACCCACGUGGUGCUAAUAUCACCAUGUGCUGACGGUACCACUGAAGGAAGCACCGGCUAACUCCGUGCCAGCAGCCGCGGUAAUACGGGGGGUGCAAGCGUUAUUC